This 886-nucleotide ribosomal RNA is filed under the name Aspergillus flavus. RNAcentral's name for it is "LSU rRNA". It matches the Rfam family "Eukaryotic large subunit ribosomal RNA", at positions 50 to 951 of the family's 3401-position model. The record is from RNAcentral. Lineage: Eukaryota; Fungi; Ascomycota; Eurotiomycetes; Eurotiales; Aspergillaceae.
GCGGAGGAAAAGAAACCAACCGGGAUUGCCUCAGUAACGGCGAGUGAAGCGGCAAGAGCUCAAAUUUGAAAGCUGGCUCCUUCGGGGUCCGCAUUGUAAUUUGCAGAGGAUGCUUCGGGUGCGGCCCCUGUCUAAGUGCCCUGGAACGGGCCGUCAGAGAGGGUGAGAAUCCCGUCUGGGAUGGGGUGUCCGCGCCCGUGUGAAGCUCCUUCGACGAGUCGAGUUGUUUGGGAAUGCAGCUCUAAAUGGGUGGUAAAUUUCAUCUAAAGCUAAAUACUGGCCGGAGACCGAUAGCGCACAAGUAGAGUGAUCGAAAGAUGAAAAGCACUUUGAAAAGAGAGUUAAAAAGCACGUGAAAUUGUUGAAAGGGAAGCGCUUGCGACCAGACUCGCCUCCAGGGUUCAGCCGGCAUUCGUGCCGGUGUACUUCCCUGGGGGCGGGCCAGCGUCGGUUUGGGCGGCCGGUCAAAGGCUCCCGGAAUGUAGUGCCCUCCGGGGCACCUUAUAGCCGGGAGUGCAAUGCGGCCAGCCUGGACCGAGGAACGCGCUUCGGCACGGACGCUGGCAUAAUGGUCGUAAACGACCCGUCUUGAAACACGGACCAAGGAGUCUAACAUCUACGCGAGUGUUCGGGUGUCAAACCCGUACGCGCAGUGAAAGCGAACGGAGGUGGGAGCCCCCUCGUGGGGCGCACCAUCGACCGAUCCUGAUGUCUUCGGAUGGAUUUGAGUAAGAGCGUAAAUGUGGGGACCCGAAAGAUGGUGAACUAUGCCUGAAUAGGGCGAAGCCAGAGGAAACUCUGGUGGAGGCUCGCAGCGGUUCUGACGUGCAAAUCGAUCGUCAAAUUUGGGUAUAGGGGCGAAAGACUAAUCGAACCAUCUAGUAGC